GACAGAGGGUGCAAACGUUGUUCGGAAUUACUGGGCGUAAAGCGUGUGUAGGCAGCCAAGCAAGUCGGAUGUGAAAGCCCAGGGCUCAACCCUGGAAGUGCACUCGAUACUGCCUGGCUCGAGUAUCGGAGAGGUUGGUGGAAUUCUCGGUGUAGAGGUGAAAUUCGUAGAUAUCGAGAGGAACACCGGUGGCGAAGGCGGCCAACUGGACGAAUACUGACGCUGAGACACGAAAGCGUGGGGAGCAAACAGG
Molecule: ribosomal RNA, 253 nt
Filed under: uncultured bacterium
Lineage: Bacteria
Description: partial 16S ribosomal RNA
Rfam family: Bacterial small subunit ribosomal RNA
Source: RNAcentral